GAACUAAAAUACGUCUAGAUACAUCCACUACUGCGACAAGUAAUUCCGAAUGGAGGGAGUACCUCCUUAGUCUUGUGUCCGCUGGUUUGCCCUCCUCCUCUUCUUGGGCUAGCUUUCUGGGGAUUGGAUUGUGCAUCCGAUUCCAAACCAGCAUCCUUUUCUUGCUCUUGGUGUCCAAUAAAAUCCAGCUUUCUUCUUCUUCCCUCGUCGGAUUUGUUCCUCAAAAUCCGCCCCCACCGACCGAGGUUACUCUCUGCUGGUUCUUCAUCUCCCUCUCUUAGCCGCUUCGAGCGGGAUGGAGCAGAGACGAUGCAUUCUUUCUCCUCCAUCUCAUGGCAUCGUCUCUUAUUUCCUUCGGUGAUGUUCUUCGUUUCAUUUUCAUGCGCUUGUCAAUGCGGUUCUUGAUUGUCUGAUUUCCCCCCUCUUCAACCUCCAUUACGGAGGCCCACCAUGCUGUUUCGGGGGGAGGCAGCCGGUCAGCCCCGGCGGAGGCAGUUUUCUCUCAAUGCUGUUGAAGCACAUGCAUACCCUGGAUAUUUGGCUUCUUCAGCUCCAACCUCCAGAUCUCCGGCUGCAAGACCACAUGGAGGCCCCAAUCCCGUUGAUCUUUUGAUUUGGCGACCGACGACUUCAACAGACCUGUCCCUGGUCAGCUACGAAGAAGCACGAUGUCUUUUCUCCUCUGCUUUCUUUCCUCACCCCAUCUGAAGGUCCGCCUGAGAGGCGAUUCCGGGCAAGGUGUUCGCAGUCAGCGGAGAUUCAAGCACUGUUCGCCGCCGGCACUUUCCUUUGACUCAACCGCACGGGCGCUUUCCACCGGUGAGGUGUUCGCAGUCGACGGAGAUUCAAGCGAUGUCCGCCACCCGCACUUUCCUGUGCCUCCGCCACACCGGCGCUUUCCGCCUGCAAGGUGUUCGCCGUCGGCACGACAGAGAUUCAAACGGUCGACGAGCUACGUGUUCGUAGUCGGCAGAGAUUCAAGGGCUUUCAAUCGGUGAGGUGUUCGCAAUCAGCGUGUCGGCAGAGAUUCAAACGGUCGACGGGCUAGGUGUUCAUAGUCGGCAGAAAUUCAAGUGCUUUCCAUCGGUGAGGUGUUCGCACUCAGCGUGUAUUCAAGCGCUCGACGGGCGAGGCGGAGAUUCAAGCGCUUUUCACCGACGAGGUGUUCGCAGUCGGCGGAGAUUCAAGCACUUUUUGCGACGAGGUGUUCGCAGUCGGUGGAGAUUCAAGCGCUUUCCGCCGGCGAGGUGUUCGCAGUCGGCAGAGAUUCGAGCGCUCGACGGGCGAGGUGUUCGCAGUUGGGGGAGAUUCAAGCGCUUUCCGCCCGCGAGGAGUUCGCAGCCGGCGAAGAUUCAAGCGCUUUCCACCGGUGAGGUGUUCGCAAUUGGCGGAGAUUCAAGCGCUCGACGGGCAAGGUGUUCGAAGUCGGUGGAUAUUCAAGCGCUUUCCGCCGGCGAGGUGUUCCCAGUCUGCAGAGAUUCAAGUGCUUGACGGGCGAGGUGUUCGUAGUCGGUGGAGAUUCAAGUGCUUUCCGCAGGCGAGGUGUUUGCAGUCGGCAUGCGAGGUGUUCACAAUCAGUGGAGAUUCAAGCGCUUUUCGCAGGCGAGGUGUUUGCACUCGGUGGAGAUUCAAGCAUCGACGAGCGAGGUUUUCGUAGUCGGCAGAGAUUCAAGCGCUUUCCGCCGAUGAGGUGUACAUAGUCGGCGGAGAUUCAAGCACUCAUAGGUGAGGUGUUUGCAGUCGGCGGUGAUUUAAGCGCUCGACGAGCAAGGUGUUCGCAGUUGGUGGAGAUUCAAACGCUUUCUGCUGGCGAGGUGUUCGCAGUCGGUGGAGAUUCAAGCGAUCGACGGGCAAGGUGUUCGAUGUCGGCGGAGAUUCAAGCGCUCGACGGGCAAGGUGUUUGAUGUCGGCGGAGAUUCAAGCGCUCGACGGGCAAGGUGUUCGCAGUCGGCGGAGGUUCAACCGGUUGACGGGUGAGGUGUUCGCAGCCGGUGGAAAUUCAAGUGCUUUUCGUCGGCGAGGUGUUUGCAGUCGGCGGACGAGGUGCUCAUAAUCAGUGGAGAUUCAAUCGCUUUUCGCUGGCGAGGUGUUUGCACUCGAUGGAGAUUCAAGCAUCGAUGGGCGAGGUUUUCACAGUCGGCGGAGAUUCAAGCUCUCUCCGCCGACGAGGUGUACGCAGUCGGCGGAGAUUCAAGCACUCAAGGGCGAGGUGUUCGCAGUCGGCAGAGAUUUAAGCACUCGACGAGCAAGGUGUUCGCAGUUGGCGGAGAUUCACAUGCUUUCUGCUGGCGAGGUGUUCGCAGUCGGCGGAGAUUCAAGCGAUCGAUGAGCAAGGUGUUUGAAGUCGGCGGAGAUUCAAGCGCUCUACGGGCAAGGUGUUCGCAGUCAGUGGAGAUUCAAGCGCUCGACGGGCGAGGUGUUCGUAGUUAGCAGAGAUUCAAGCGCUGCACAGUCGAGGUGUUCGCACUCGGUGGAGAUUCUAGCGCUUCUCGCCGGCGAGGUGUUUGCAAUGGACAAAGAUUCAAGCGCUUUCCGCCGGCGAGGUGUUCGCAGUCGAUGGAGAUUCAAGCGCUUUCCGCCGGUGAGGUGUUCGUAGUCGGCGGAGAUUUGAGUGCUUUCCGCUGCCGAGGUGUUCGCAGUUGACGGAGAUUCAAGCGCUCUCUGCGAGCGAGGUGUUUGCAGUCGGCGGAGAUUCAAGCAUUGUCUUCCAUCGGAGCUUCCCUGCGGCUCCACCACACAAGCGAUUUUCAUGAGCGAGGUGUUCGCAAUCGAUGGAGAUUCAAGCGCUGUCCUCCACCAGUGCUUUCGUGCGGCUCCACCACACCGGUGCUCUUCCCCGACGGGGUGUUCGCAGUUGGCGGAGAUUCAAGCGCUUCGCCGGCAAGGUGUUCGCAGUUGGCGGAGAUUCAAGCGUUGUCCGCCACAGGAAAGCGCCACCGGUGCUUUCCUAUGGCUCCACCACAUCGGCGCUUUCUGCCGAUGAGGUGUUUGCAGUCUACGGAGAUUCAGGCGUUGUCCGCUGCCCCGGUGCUUUCUUGCGGCUCCACCACAUUGGCACUUUUUCCUGGCGAGGUGUUCGCAGUCGGCGGAGAUUCAAACGUUGUCCGUCGUCGCCGCUUUCCUGCGGCUCCACCACACCGGCGCUUUCCGACGGUGAGUUGUUCUCAGUUGGCGGAGAUUCAAGUGCUCCGGCGGCGAGGUGUUCGCAGUGGUGGAGAUUCAAGCGCUGUCCGCCACUGGCGCUUUCUUGCGGCUGCACCACAGCGGCGCUUUCCGCCGGCGAGGUGUUCCCAGUCGGCAAAGACUCACGUGUUGUCCGCCGCCGACACUUUCCUUCGGCUCCACCGCAUCAGCUUUGCGCGAGAACUCGAGGUAUGCUGUGCGCACACCCUAUUCCCAUGUGCUAGUUCGCUUUCUCUAUCGCGCGUGUCCGACGCGUUUUCCGACAGGUCGAGCGAUGCUAAUGGCCAAGACGGUUGCUUAACAGCAGUUGCAUUGCGGUGCUUGGAUUGCGGCAGUUUUGUGGUUUGGUCUCGCUGACACAUGGGCAACGACACGGGGAACAUUCGCUGGUGCGAGGAACAACAGUUGCAAGGCGUUAGGUUUUUUUCCGGUGAUGCGGCGGCGAGCAUCGUCGCGCAAACCAAAGAUCAUCAAUCAGGCCAUUUUGGUGGCCACGGCAAUUUUUUUGUUUACUGAGGCAGUUCCCCUCAUCUUUUGCCGUGCUGACCCGUCUCAGGGCAUUUGCGGGCAAUUCACCUCAUCUCUUGCCGUGCUGCCUGUUCUGCAUGUAGAUUAUUCUUCUUGGUAUGCCCCCCUUAGGCAGAUUGGUUACUUUUGCCAUGUUUAGUUGUGCAUGGUAUACACCUAUGUUGCUAUGCUCAUGUGCCCUAUUUGUGUUCAUUGCCGCAGUUGCUAUGUUCAUUUGUGUUAUAUAUUAGUUCUCCGCAUUUCCAUAUUUUUGCCAUGUGAUCCUGUUUUACAUGUGUGAUGUGUGUACUUUGUUGCCAUGCUCUUAUUGUAUGCAGAAAAUUUGUUCUCUAUAAAUUUUGCCAUGUGUUCAUGUUUAGAUUUGUGAUUUUGUAUAACUUUUUUUCCAUGCUCUUAUGUAUGUAGAAGAUUGUUAUCUUCAUAAUUUGCCAUGGCAACACGUUUCUGUGAUUGCUUCACAUUUUUGCCAUGUUCUCCUAUAUGUACUACCUUUUUCAGUGCAAAUUUUCAUGUCAUUUCACAUUGUAUGCACUAAUUGGUUAAAUACAAAUUUGCCAUGCCAUCGUGUAUGUCAUUUGCUUACUACUUGCCAUCCUACCAUUUGCCAUAGUAAUUUUCGGCAUUUUUGCCAUAUAUGAUGUGGUUUAUUACAUUAGUGCCAUUUCCAUCCUUUUUGUUUUAUUUUUCAUGAGUGGAAGGAGGGGUUGGUAGGUCCAGAAUGCAAUUUUCUUUUUCCUUUUUCUCUUUCAUAGAUUUCUUGUCUUUCACUCACUCUCCCUCUUUGUCAUGUGCAGAUCCUUUUGCAUCAUGGCUCGGAAUGGCCAAAGCUGGUAAACAGAUUCAGAAGGAUGUAUUGGCUAGCCAGCGCAACAAGGGCUCACAUGAACGUCUCACUGAGCUCAACAAGAAUUUUAGUGAUGAUCAGAAAAAUAUUGCCCGGAAAUAUGGGGAUGCUUUCAUUGAUGAACUAUCACACAAACCUAAACAACCCCGUGUGCGUCUGGCUUGGGAAGAUUUAUGACAUUGGGACCAGAGUUUCGUCAUCCCUGGGCGUGGCCGAAUUUCAUUGGACAAGGAAUCUGUCUUCAACACGCUUGGUGCGCCCUGUUGUGGCAUCGACGUGCCUUACAAAGUGAAUCGCGAAGUUGAACCGCGACUAUUUGCUGAGAUGUUUCUGGGCAGGGAAACCAUGCCGCUAACAACUGCUCUUGUGUCAUGCGUGGGGGGAUGGCAACUAGUGACCUUGACUUCAAGAGGAAGAGGAAAUUCCUCAUUUUCUUGAUUUCGUCUGUCUUUGCUCCGACUACUUCGAUGCAACCGAGACAAGAUAGGUGACACAAAAAACAUGAAUUGGUGCAAAUUUAUUGUCAGAUUCCUUCACGCUAUCUUUGUGAAAAUGAUUUACAACAAAGGCCACCGUCUCCAUCGAUGACAACUUUCUCUUUUUUAUUUUCUAUUUUUUCAUUGUAUGCUUUUUUCCCCAUCAAUCUAACGUGCCUCUUUUUUCUUGGUUGCUAUCUUCACAGCUUAUAUGUCAACAAACUCGGUAUUAGCAUUGUCAAUCUCAUUGAGUUUGGAGGUCUGCCGCCACCUCAUCAGUUUGAUGUAGCUGCUUGCAAUGAUGGUGCUAUCAAAGUUGUUCUUGCGACAAGCAAGAAGGCUGACAAGUUUUUUGGCAAGCUUUGGGUUAGUUUACCGUCUUCAGACCAUUCUUUUUGUUUGUUACUCCCCCUAUAAAGAAACAUAAGAGCGUUUAGUGCGUUUAGACCACUGAACGCUCUUAUAUUUCUUUACAGAGGGAGUACAUAGUAGAUACAUUACUGGCUGGCAAUUCCAUCCUGGUCAGGUUGCAACUACUCGCUCUGUUUCUAAAUGUAAAUGUUUGUAGAGAUUCCACUAUGGACUACAUACGGAGCAAAAUGAGUGAAUCUACACUCUAAAAUGCAUAUAUAUACAUCUGUAUGUGGUCCACAGUGGAAUCUCUAUAAAGAGUUAUAUUUAGGAACCGAGGGAGUAUAAUACAACUUGGUUGGCAUGCUCACACUUAUCAACAUGGCAAAUUUCAUACUCCCUUCGUCCCAGAACAAGUGUCAUGAUUUUAGUUCAAACUGGGUGAACAUCAUGGUCUUCGGCACUAAAACCAUGACACUUAUUUUGAGACGGAGGGAGUACAUUUAUGCUCUUUGGCAUGUUGAUACUAAUUAGAGAUGGCAACUUCAAUAUAAUUUGGUUGGGAAUUUUAAACUAAUCAGUAGGAAAUUUUAAUAUAUAUGUUAUUAGUAACAAUACAUUGAUCAACAUGAUUUUUUCUUUUGUUCUACCACUAAUUGGCAUUUGCAUUGUUCUACCAUUGAUUUAUUUAAUUUCUUAUUAGACUCACAAUUUUAAUAUAAUCUGGUUGGCAAUUUCAUGUAGAUCAAAAUAGCAAAUUCAUACAUUUUCUGCUUUUUUGCCAUUUGCAUUCUGACUAGGAUGGGAAUAUCUAUGUAAUCUGGUUGGCAAUUUCAUGCAGAUCAGCAUGACAACUUUCAUACAUCAUCCUAGGGCAUGCUCCCAAUAAUUAUGAUGUAGGGUGAAACCCUAGGUGAUGAUCUUUUUCACACUCGGAGGAAAAAAUUGAGGGCAAACAAUAGUUCAAGAGGGGAACACUCAAACAAACCCAAAUCACAUAUCCACUAGAAUAGCAUACAUGAGAUCUACAAGUAUUACAUGAACAAUCAAGGGAAAUAGCACAAAGGUAAAGGUUCUUCUCAAAUCCAAAGAGAUGAGGUCUUGAUGAUCUAGGUAGAUCCUUCUCCCUUAGGAGGUCUUGAUGAUCUUAUGAUGGGGAUCCCUCUCCCUUAAGAGGUUUUGAUCCUCAAGAUGAAGGCACAAGGAGCAAAGCUCUCAAUGAUCUCAAAUAAUUUGCUAACCCUAAUCCAAAUCUAGGAGGUGACUAUUUAUAGACCAAGGAAGGUUUGGGGGGGGGGGGGGAACGGGGGUACAAGGGUCAAUUCUCCUUAAUGCUCGCAGGCAUGGUCGGAGGGGUCUAGGUUCGUAAAGGGCUAGGAACCCCGGGGUGGUCGCCUAGGAGGAGGGCUAGGAACCCUGGGUGGUCGCCUGGGAGGAGGGCUGGGCACCCGGGGGUGGAGGUCCGGGUACCCGGGGUGGCCGUCCUGGUGGAGGGGCCGGGCACCCAAGGGUGGGGAGGCCAGACACUUGGGGUGUCUAAUGGCUUCGCCCACCCUGUGGCCGCAUGUCCGGGCGCCCGGGGUGUCCAGAAGGCCUCUGGUUUCCCGCAUCUUGGGCUUCUCUUUCUCCUCCUUCCUCUUGUGGCUCUGUGUGGACUUGAUGAUCCUUCCUUGCUUCUCCAUGGCCUUUUCCUUGAUACAUAAGCAUGCAUAAAGUCUCCGCUUGAUGUAGAAUCCAUUUCUCAUGUGAAUUCAAAGGAAGCUCGAAGAGGAGAGAGGUAACCUCUAUUUCAAUAGCACGUGCACGGGCUCUUGUCAUUGGUCCACUUGGUGCUUGGGAUGACGGUGGUAGGUCCAUGGGGAUGGCUGUAGGAUGCUCUGCAUCAUCUCCCCCCUUGGGGAAGAUCUGCUCUCGGAUCAAUAACCUCAUCAGCAUGGAAGGGAAAGAGGUCUUUGACAUUGAAGAUGUCACUCACGUUGUACCCGUCUCUUAGGAUGUCAAUCUUGUAGGC
This is a long non-coding RNA of Triticum aestivum (bread wheat), 7393 nucleotides long. RefSeq lists it as uncharacterized. The record is from RefSeq and is a predicted model, not a curated record. NCBI's taxonomy places the organism in Eukaryota, Viridiplantae, Streptophyta, Magnoliopsida, Poales, Poaceae. The transcript is spliced from 3 exons.